AUCCAGGUGGGGGCCUCGGUGAGGGCUGCUUGGUAACCAAGACACAGUGUGAGGGUGCUGAGCAGCAUUAGGGGCAAGGGAGCAGGCAAGUGGGAGGCGGACCAUGAACCGCGGGGGCUGCGCGUCCAAUGCAGCCGCAGCUCCGCAGUGUCAAGGGCUCAGACACAGAUGAAGGCAAUGGAGAUGCACGAAGAGUGUUUGGGAGGUAGCUGAGCCAUCUCAAAGGCAGUAUCUUCACCAUGGGCCAGCCUCUGUGGCGUGGAACUGGAAAGCCUUUCCUACAGUUAGUAAUACCCUCCGGCACCUACUCUUGGCUCCAUCAUGAUUCUCUUCCUUCGGCUUGCUACUGUUUGAAGACUGAGCGGCUUUGCUGAUUCCUUCAUUCAACGAGUGUUUAUGGAACAGCGAUGUGCCAUUGUUCUAGUCACUAAGGAUCUAACAGUGACCAAUACAAAGAUCCUUCCUCCAGACAGCUCUGUUCAACUGUUGGUAGAAGUGAAAUCCAGGCCUGAGCUUAGAGCCAGUGCCUCUGCUCACAUGCCCAUUCCUGGUGGGAGGAGCGAGGGGCCAGGGGCCCCUCGUGUGGCGGAUGUGUGGGGAGAGUGCAGAGUGUACUGGAGUGAUAGCAGACAAGACAAAGGAGAACAGAGCGAAAUGCUAUAAAUAAAGAGGGGCCCGAGGGAGGGCCGCUUCACCAAGGUAGACCAAAUAAGGCCUGAAGUGGAAGGAAGGUAAUCUGUCUCCCCUCCCCAGCAUUGUGACUGCUUUGUCUGGGCUCUGUCACCACCCUGAUCAAGUAUCAGGCCCAAACAGGGGCCAUUUGCUGUGAACAUGCCAGCGGGAGUUCAGAGGAAAAGUUGCUAAAAUUACUACCAGGAAUGGGAGGAGGAGGGGUGCACUAGGGCAAGUCAGAGGAGACCUC
Physeter macrocephalus (sperm whale) is the source of this 922-nucleotide long non-coding RNA. RefSeq lists it as uncharacterized. The transcript has 3 exons. The record is from RefSeq and is a predicted model, not a curated record. NCBI's taxonomy places the organism in Eukaryota, Metazoa, Chordata, Mammalia, Artiodactyla, Physeteridae.